This is a long non-coding RNA of Canis lupus familiaris (dog), 918 nucleotides long. RefSeq lists it as uncharacterized. The transcript is spliced from 3 exons. Lineage: Eukaryota; Metazoa; Chordata; Mammalia; Carnivora; Canidae. The record is from RefSeq and is a predicted model, not a curated record.
UAUUGCUUUGCAGGGAAGAGGCUGCAGUGGCCUCUGGCCUGCGAACACUGCAAGCCAGCCCGGAGGGCUGCCUGGAGGAAGGGGCUGGGCGCUUUGGAGGGUCGUGCGGGAUUUAGCCGGUUUGGGCAGGAGUUGCAUCCUUGCUGUCCUGUCUUCUGGUGGCACCAGGCUCCUGAGACAAACGGCUAAGAAGGGAGGAGGGGAGGUCGGCGGAAGAGAAGUGAAAGGUCACCUUAAGAUCGAGCUUCGCUGAGGCGUUAGGGCAGCCAAUGUGAUUUUUGUUCAAUGUGAUGCUUUUAAGCGCUUUCAAUAACAAGGACUUUGUGAAGGAAAAGACCAUAACAAAAAAAUAUCACGGGGAUACAAGGAUUUCCUUUGCAAGAGGAUUUAUGAGCGAAACCUCCUUCAGGCUCCCUUAGCACACUGUUUUCGGGGAAACCGGAAUAGAACAAUCUGUAGCGAGAACAAAGAGCCCUGUGUUGGGAAAGACAUGUGGACCUGGCAGCAGCAGGUGCGCUUUUGUGGGGAGACCGAGGGUUUCGCCUGGGCCUUGAACUCGUAUUUCCAGCCAAGAUGGAUCGGACUCCAGGCUCCCUGAGGAUGAGCCACCACUUCUCCGCUCCUGCAGCCACCGCUUCUCCGCUGGGCCCGGAACCCGUCAAGCCGCAGGGACGUACGAUGGGCACAAUGACUCCGUUCUGCCCGGGCCACCCUCCCGCCUGUGCCACCUACCCCGCCAGCUCCCGUCUUGCUUGAGGAUGUCACAGUCAGGAUCCCUGGGUGGCUCAGCGGUUUAGCGCCUGCCUUCAGCCCAGAGCGUGAUCCUGGAGUCCUGGGAUCGAGUCCCACGUCAGGCUCCCUGCGUGGAGCCUGCUUCUCCCUCUGCCUGUGUCUCUGCCUCUCUUUCUCUCUCUCUCU